UUAAACAGAAAUGCAGUUAGUCAAGAAAACUGGAUGUUGAAUUAUAUGUACAGAUUUGUUAUACAUGUACAGGGUAAAGGGGGCUGUGUACAAAUGCGAAUGUAGAAAGUAUUGCAUUGCAUAUUGAUAUAAGGUGCUGUGUGUAUGAGAAAAUAUAGGAGAUAUUUAUUGCACAGUUGGGUGGAUAUUUAACUGGAGGAAAAUAAACUUUUUUGUGUGUCUGGCUGUUUUUGUUCUUGGUGCUCUGAAGCGCAGACCAGACAGUAACAGUUGGAACAGGUAGUGUGCUGGAUGCGAUUCGUCCAGAGUGAUUUUGCAAGCCCUUUUACUCACUUUGGAAGAGUUCAGUUCUUGAAGUGUAGUGCCAGUGAUACGUUCAGCAGUACGGACUAUUCGCUGUAGUCU
Molecule: long non-coding RNA, 405 nt
Filed under: Danio rerio (zebrafish)
Lineage: Eukaryota; Metazoa; Chordata; Actinopteri; Cypriniformes; Danionidae
Description: lncRNA si:ch211-197b11.1 (ENSDARG00000101444.2)
Source: RNAcentral